AGCAAACAGGAUUAGAUACCCUGGUAGUCCACGCCGUAAACGAUGUCGACUUGGAGGUUGUGCCCUUGAGGCGUGGCUUCCGGAGCUAACGCGUUAAGUCGACCGCCUGGGGAGUACGGCCGCAAGGUUAAAACUCAAAUGAAUUGACGGGGGCCCGCACAAGCGGUGGAGCAUGUGGUUUAAUUCGAUGCAACGCGAAGAACCUUACCUGGUCUUGACAUCCACAGAACUUUCCAGAGAUGGAUUGGUGCCUUCGGGAACUGUGAGACAGGUGCUGCAUGGCUGUCGUCAGCUCGUGUUGUGAAAUGUUGGGUUAAGUCCCGCAACGAGCGCAACCCUUAUCCUUUGUUGCCAGCGGUCCGGCCGGGAACUCAAAGGAGACUGCCAGUGAUAAACUGGAGGAAGGUGGGGAUGACGUCAAGUCAUCAUGGCCCUUACGACCAGGGCUACACACGUGCUACAAUGGCGCAUACAAAGAGAAGCGACCUCGCGAGAGCAAGCGGACCUCAUAAAGUGCGUCGUAGUCCGGAUUGGAGUCUGCAACUCGACUCCAUGAAGUCGGAAUCGCUAGUAAUCGUGGAUCAGAAUGCCACGGUGAAUACGUUCCCGGGCCUUGUACAC
Molecule: ribosomal RNA, 621 nt
Filed under: Escherichia coli
Lineage: Bacteria; Pseudomonadati; Pseudomonadota; Gammaproteobacteria; Enterobacterales; Enterobacteriaceae
Description: bacterial SSU rRNA
Rfam family: Bacterial small subunit ribosomal RNA
Source: RNAcentral